This is a long non-coding RNA of Papio anubis (olive baboon), 1684 nucleotides long. The record is from Ensembl. Lineage: Eukaryota; Metazoa; Chordata; Mammalia; Primates; Cercopithecidae.
UAGCAUUUUCCCAAGAUGACUUAGACUUUGUGUAUUUUAGUAACUUUCUGGUUUUACAUCACUUUCAGGUAGCUGAUACAGACUUCUGAAUGUUAAUAUUAUGACCUCAAUGUACAAGAUUGUAGAGGAAAAAAAAAUUUAUUUUAAAAAACUACCUUACUUAAAUUCUUAAAUGUUCCAUUCUACUUGCCCAAAAAGCUCUGAAAAAACCUUUCUGUGUUUCAUAAGAAAAAAAAAACCCAUCUUUUUCAUCUAAAGUUUCUUUAUAUGAGAAGAGUCAGAAAGAUUUAUCUCAAAUCUAGAAAAAAAAAGUAUUUUUAUCCAAAGGGCAAUGCUAUUCUGAAAAUUUUGCCCAGGUACUAAAGCCCUUAGUGAAGUAACUUACUAGAAAUUCUAUUCAUACACACAAAUGAAUACAACUGUCUAGACCGCUUCCGAGAAAUGAGGUAUUUGUCUGGCAGGACAAUUCCCUGAAAAAAAUGGGUUUGGGGGAAAUCGUCAGGCCCUCUUAUCUUCCCUCUUACCUAUUCUAUGCAAAACUCCAUGUCAUUUUGUGUCCGGAAUUGGUAGGUUCUUCCUCUCGCUGACUUCAAGAAUGAAGCCGUGGACCCUGGCAGUGAGUGUUACUGUUUUUAAAGAUGGUGUGUCCGAAGUUUGUUCCUUCUGAUGUUCGGACGUGUUGGGAGUUUCUUCCUUCUGGUGGGUUCGUGGUCUUGCUGACUUCAGGAGUGAAGCUUCAGACCUUCCUAGCCAGUGUUACAGCUUAUAAAGGUGAUGUGGACCCAGAGAGUGAGCAGCAGCAAGAUCUAUUGCAAACUGCAACAGAACAAAGCUUCUACAGCAUGGAACGAUCCAGAUGAAGGUACCCCAGGCAGUUUGAGAUGUAAUGAUGGAGACCAGUUUGAGAAGACCCACCAUCUCUAAUUUCCCUCUGAUUAUGAAGUAAUACAACAAAGCUACAGUAAGUGAACUGAUAUGGUGGUGAACGCAAACUGUUUCUAACUUCUCUCAUUUUCUGGCUGGUGUUUUUAAAGGUAGCGUGGCAUUUCAUUAGCAUACGAUUUAGUCUAUUUCUAAAUUUAAAACAUUUAUAUAUCUGUUAUUUUCACACAUUAGGAAGGAUGUUAAAGAUACCUAUUUCUGUUUUUAGUAAAUAAAGCUUAUUGAAAGUCUUUUUUGUAUUUGUUAAGAAUCUUUUUCACUAACAAUGGUUAUUUUCUAAUACUGGAGUACAGAUACUUCCAUGGGUCAUUGAUGUCAGCAAAGCUUGCUUGGCUAGGCAUUCUCAUUCGUAUAAAUUACUCUGAUGGUAAUCCGGCUAUUUCCAAACACAGUGAUCUCUUCUGAGUUCAUCCUUACUCUUUGCAGCUGGCUCCUUCUUUAUGGCCAAAUCACUUGGCUCUGGGUGGGUUUUCUUCUAUUGCUUCUCAAACUUCCACUCUAAUUUGAAUUAGCAUUUGUAAAAUCACUGCCCAAAUUUCUGAUUGUAAUCUUAACAAGCGUGUAAAGACAAUAAAAACAAAAGAUGUUGCAUAAUUUUUGUUGUAAAAAGGUAAAUCCUACCGCCUUCUGUGAUAUAUUCAAUAAUGAAUUUGUUCCUUUCCUAAAUUUCUAUUGCAAUUUUUGCAGCAUGUUUUUUAUUUUUGCUUUGCAUUAUAUAUACGUAUUUGUAUGCACAUCUUAG